CUCUUCCUGCAUCUUAUCCCAUCUCUCCCCCUAUCCCUUUCCAAGCCCGGCGCAGUCUAGGCCUGUGAAGACUGUUUCGUCAUGAGCCAGGGAUCCGGCCGAAGAUUUCUGCCUUUUAAUAAGGCAGUUUUUUCUUACCACUGUAACUUUUGCUGCUUUGCUAAAGUGCUCAUGAUGGAUAGGCCGGAUCUUUGUAAUAUAACAAUAAAUAAGGUCUUUUUACCUGCUCUUUUGUAAUGUGUCUCGAGAUAACACUUGUUAUGAGUUGACGCUAUACAAAUACAAAUUGAUUGAUUGAUUGAUUGAUU
Molecule: long non-coding RNA, 308 nt
Organism: Labrus mixtus (cuckoo wrasse)
Lineage: Eukaryota; Metazoa; Chordata; Actinopteri; Labriformes; Labridae
Exons: 2
Source: RefSeq, a predicted model, not a curated record